Molecule: long non-coding RNA, 396 nt
Organism: Tachysurus fulvidraco (yellow catfish)
Lineage: Eukaryota; Metazoa; Chordata; Actinopteri; Siluriformes; Bagridae
Exons: 4
Source: RefSeq, a predicted model, not a curated record
UAGUUGUUGCCGGUAUGUGAGUCAUGGGCGGAUACAGUUUGGGCGUAUUUCCGUGUGUUGGUGGACUCACUGUUAGAGCAGGAGCUGCGAUCCUCAGGACUGAGCCAUGAAGAAUUGGAUGAACUUCCCAGAGAGUACCUGGAGGCCAGCUGGACGAUGGAAAAAGUAUUCGAGGAGCUACUAGCAACCGAGUCAAAGAGAGUUCUGGACGCAACCAAGGAACAUUAUCACGUUAUUCAGAAGUUUGUCAUCCUCGGAGACUUGGAUGGUCUUCUGGAAGAGUUUGGUUGUUGGUUAGAAAAGACGCCACCAUUACCUGCUCAUCUCCUGCGUUUUAUGACUCACCUGGUGCUGUUCUAUCGUAGUCUGGGCAUGCAGCUGAAGGUACACACAUGU